AGGGAGUUGUACAAGAUACCGGCACAUGUAAAGCGCAUGCGUACGCGUGCGCAGUGCUAUGCUAGUGGUCGGAAGAUGGCGUUGAGUAUGUUCGACUCGGAGACUGCUGCAGUGCACUGGAAAAAUCGUGUUUAAUCUCCGUUUUAGAAAAUGAAAGAUUUGGGGGUGACAAACCUGCUUCAAGAGUGAGACUUCCCACAUUUAGUUCCAAUCUUUAGAGUUAAAUGUUGCAGAAGAUGAGCACGAAGAAGACACCUACUGGAUGCAAUAUUACUCAUCACCUGACAACAUUGUUGUUAAUGUGACGAACCUCGGUACCGAGAUAUGAGUUGACUAGAGGAAACCCGCGACCAAGCACAGCAGAAAUUCUUGACAAAUAUCUACAGCUUUUGGGAAUGAUUGAUCAAGACUUUGAUUUAACAAUUGAUGCAGCUCCUGGUGCCCUUUUCACAAUGUGGCCAAAGUUGUCCAGGCAGACUUUGGAAUUUGCGGAGAUUAAUCCAGGGUAUAGAAAGAUCCUAGGGGCUGGAGUGGACCAGAAAAUGACGCAGAGUCAACAAUGAAGAAAAUUUGGCUUUCAGUACUUCCUGGGAUUUUGAUCGGCAGAACGAAAGGGGAAUGAGGCAAAUUAAAUGUGCCGUACUUCAAAGUCUUGAAUCUUUCAUCAAUCUCCAAUUAGAAGGAGCAUGAAGAAAAAGAAGAUGAACAGGAAUUGACAAUGGCGCGUUCCAUACCUGGGAGUGAUUGCACAGUGGCACCCUUGGACCUAAUUUCACCCUGACAUCAAGUUGGUUUUAAGGAGAACCAUGAGAGAAAUUAAUAAAUUAAAGUUUGCCGAAUAUCAAAGAAUAACAGAGUUAUGAGGCUUCAAAGUUUUAAAUUUGUGACAUGACAUGCGAGCAGCUCCCAAUAUGUCAAUCAUGUAAUAUAAAUUCCAUAAAUUGCCAUUUUUUAAUGGUUUUCAUGAUAAUUAAAUGGGUUUUUAUCAGAAGCUUGUAUGAAAUAAUGUUUCUGAUAACAUUGAAUCCACAGGUAAAAUCAUUUUCCAAUUUCCCUAGAAAAGGCACUUGUAUAGAAUUGAUAUCACAUAAAAUAUGGGGAGCUGCUCGCAUGUGAAGUCACAAAUUUAAAACUUCAUAACUCUUAUUCUUGGUGGAUUUUCACCAACUAACAUGCAAUGUCAGGAUGAACCUUGCCUUUAAACCUUAUAUUGGCAGCCUUUCAUUGACAUUUACAUACAGUAUUUUAGGUUUUGUGAGCAAGUAUAUGAAAAAGGUGCUAAUUAACACCUACUUCCCCUUAACCCUAAACAGGCUGGGGGGGGGUUAAAACAACCUUCCCCCAACAUUAUCUGCGAUCAUUCCUCUGCGGGAGAUUUGUUGACCCUGCCACUCUCAGAGUUUAUACUAAGUCUCGCGCAUCUUUUGAGACCAAAUUUACGAUGCCCAGGUACGUUGUCCCGAAAUUAUGCAACAUUUCGUAAGU
RNAcentral lists this long non-coding RNA (1485 nucleotides) under Lytechinus variegatus (green sea urchin). Its description in RNAcentral is "uncharacterized LOC121415505". The record is from RNAcentral. Lineage: Eukaryota; Metazoa; Echinodermata; Echinoidea; Temnopleuroida; Toxopneustidae.